GACCGCAACACUCAGCAGAUUUUCUACAACCUGAAUUUCAGAGUGAACAGAUUAAAGACUAAUUACAUAAAAUGGCGGGCUGUGGAUUCUUAUGGUGUUUAGUAUGGCUUGUCAUCCUUAUUUGCAUCGCUUAUCCAAUCGGAUUUUUCUGUGCUCCCAUCUACGUUUUAGUGAGCCCGCUUGCCGCCUGUUGCAGUGGAUUUAUUGGGCUUAUCAACUUUAUAGAAAGGGGACUGAAAUUGCCCUUAACCUGUGCCGAGAAUAUGGUUGCAGCAAAGCCCCUGUGUUAAAUUAAAGACUUUCCCAUCAACGGUAACUUAUCGUGCUAUUUAAAAUCUGACUUUAGGUAUAGUUUGUGUUUACUCCAUAGUCUUUUUGGCAGCCAUCUUGGAUUUUUUACAUUAGGAAAGCGUUUCCAUAGUAUCGGGCAUCAGUACGAAAGGCCUAAAAAUAUUAAUUUGGAUAUAAAAACUGUAUAUUAACAUUAUAGCGCAGUUUUAUAUGGUCGUUAAAUUUGUUACUUAGAAUUAUAUUGUUUACGUCCGCUCAACAUAGAUAGAUAGUUUCUGGGAACGUUGGUCUUUAGAGUCAUCUGUGAAUAUAUGACUAAAAUAAUUUAUAUAACGUUUCAAGCCAGAAAAAAGAUCUGCAUUGGGCAUAAUGUCUCUUCAAUUUAAAAUAAACUAGAGGUCACGGGUUCGCGGAGAAAAUUCCUGCAAACAACAUUGAUUAGUCGUUCGGAUGGUUUAACAAAUGGAGGUUGGAAUUUGACGGAGAAUAGGCGGAAACGCCGCUGUUCUGGCAAAAUUCACCCUAUAGCACACAAUAUGGGGUAUGCCCGUUUGGCACAGAAAGGCGGGAUGUUAAACACGAUUAAUUUCUUUUCCGUGGGACAAUGGCAGAAAACCAAAUAUUUUUUAGAUUACCUUAUUAGAGAUUUAUGUUUGUAGAUUGCCAAAAAAAAAAAAUAUUUGUAUAAUGUCACCCAGCUAUAUGAUAGCGCUAGGGGUAAUUGGGCUAGGGGCAUUAAUAAUUUGUUAUUUAUAUAUUUUUUAUAUGCUUUGAUAAGACAAUCUAUUCGUAAUAAGAUGUUACAAAAUUACAAAAGAUAAAGACGGGCUGAUGUAAUCUUACCUCAAAUAAAUGUGUUAUAUGGCAGGGUUCCAAUUUAUAUUUUUCACCUAUUCAUUAUACUAUAAAUAUUAUAUAUUAUCUAAUGUAAAAUGUAUGUGAAUCUAUGUAUUUGUGCAAUAUUCUCCUGGUUUUAUAUUAUUAAGUCGAGUAACCCCUGUAUUGUUGGUUUUAUAUAUCAUUACACAUCUCUCACUAGAGGAGAUGGGGGGGGGGCGAAUAGUUUAACGCUUGUGCGUUAGAUAAUAAGGUCUAUUAUUGUGUCAAAUGGCGUGGUUCACCUGCCCAACCUCGUAGGUGUUCUCCAGGUCACCCCACAGAUAAAGACCCCACUGAAGACCCCUACGCACAAGCGCAGUUGCUCAAAUAAAAUUAAACCUUAUGUUAGUCUCGAAAUGACCUCGUUUGUGCCGGGUGAUAUCUCUCUCUCUCUCUCUCUCUCAUCACUCACAAAUCAAUGGCAGUAUAUUAUGUCCAACUUUAUUCAACUGUGUAAAUUGUAUGUAUGGUCUUUGUAUCUUUGGACUUUAAACGUAAAUAAACUACUACCAAGAGAA
Patella vulgata (common limpet) is the source of this 1688-nucleotide long non-coding RNA. RefSeq lists it as uncharacterized. NCBI's taxonomy places the organism in Eukaryota, Metazoa, Mollusca, Gastropoda, Patellidae. The record is from RefSeq and is a predicted model, not a curated record. The transcript has 2 exons.